UACGUAGGGUGCGAGCGUUGUCCGGAAUUACUGGGCGUAAAGAGCUUGUAGGUGGUUUGUCGCGUUGUUCGUGAUAUCUCACGGCUUAACUGUGAGCGUGCGGGCGAUACGGGCAGACUAGAGUACUGCAGGGGAGACUGGAAUUCCUGGUGUAGCGGUGGAAUGCGCAGAUAUCAGGAGGAACACCGGUGGCGAAGGCGGGUCUCUGGGCAGUAACUGACGCUGAGAAGCGAAAGCGUGGGGAGCGAACAGG
This 253-nucleotide ribosomal RNA is filed under the name uncultured bacterium. RNAcentral describes it as "partial 16S ribosomal RNA". It matches the Rfam family "Bacterial small subunit ribosomal RNA", at positions 524 to 776 of the family's 1533-position model. The record is from RNAcentral.